CAGUAGCCACGGGAACACAGAGGGUGCGAGCGUUAAUCGGAUUUACUGGGCGUAAAGCGUGCGUAGGCGGCUUCUUAAGUCGGAUGUGAAAUCCCUGAGCUUAACUUAGGAAUUGCAUUCGAUACUGGGAAGCUAGAGUAUGGGAGAGGAUGGUAGAAUUCCAGGUGUAGCGGUGAAAUGCGUAGAGAUCUGGAGGAAUACCGAUGGCGAAGGCAGCCAUCUGGCCUAAUACUGACGCUGAGGUACGAAAGCAUGGGGAGCAAACAGGAUUAGAUACCCCCGUAGUCCCUGUCUCUUAUAU
Molecule: ribosomal RNA, 301 nt
Filed under: uncultured bacterium
Lineage: Bacteria
Description: partial 16S ribosomal RNA
Rfam family: Bacterial small subunit ribosomal RNA
Source: RNAcentral